RNAcentral lists this ribosomal RNA (253 nucleotides) under uncultured bacterium. Its description in RNAcentral is "partial 16S ribosomal RNA". It matches the Rfam family "Bacterial small subunit ribosomal RNA", at positions 524 to 776 of the family's 1533-position model. The record is from RNAcentral.
UACGGGGGGGGCAAGCGUUGUUCGGAAUUACUGGGCGUAAAGGGCUCGUAGGCGGCCAACUAAGUCGGACGUGAAAUCCCUCGGCUUAACCGGGGAACUGCGUCCGAUACUGGAUGGCUUGAGUUCGGGAGAGGGAUGCGGAAUUCCAGGUGUAGCGGUGAGAUGCGUAGAUAUCUGGAGGAACACCGGUGGCGAAGGCGGCAUCCUGGACCGACACUGACGCUGAGGAGCGAAAGCCAGGGGAGCAAACGGG